Molecule: ribosomal RNA, 253 nt
Filed under: uncultured bacterium
Lineage: Bacteria
Description: partial 16S ribosomal RNA
Rfam family: Bacterial small subunit ribosomal RNA
Source: RNAcentral
UACGGGGGGUGCAAGCGUUAUUCGGAAUUAUUGGGCGUAAAGGGCGCGCAGGCGGCUUAUUAAGUCAGAUGUGAAAGCCCGGGGCUUAACCCCGGAAGUGCAUUUGAAACUAAUAGGCUUGAGUAUGGGAGAGGGAAGUGGAAUUCCUGGUGUAGAGGUGAAAUUCGUAGAUAUCAGGAGGAACACCUGUGGCGAAGGCGACUUCCUGGACCAAUACUGACGCUGAGGCGCGAAGGCGUGGGGAGCAAACAGG